AUUUUAUUACUAACUGACGUAAUAUACGAAUAAUUUACCAGACGUAGUAAAUUGGUAGUUUGACGUGGGGCGGUCGCCUACUAAAGAGUAACAGAGGCGUGACGAAGGUAAGUUCAUUAAGAUAAAUAUCUUAAGUAGAGCGCAAUGGUAUUAAACUUGCCUGACUGUAAGAUAGACAUAUCAAGCAGAGACGAAGUCGGCCAUAGUGAUCCGGUGGUUCUGUGUGGAAAGGCCAUCGCUCAACGGAUAAAAGGUACUCCGGGGAUAACAGGCUAAUGACUCCCUAGAGCUCCUAUCGACGGAGUCGUUUGGCACCUCGAUGUCGACUCAUCACAUCCUGGAGCUGGAAAAGGUUCCAAGGGUUCGGCUGUUCACCGAUAAAAGUGGUACGUGAGUUGGGUUUAGAACGUCGUAAGACAGUUUGGUCUCUAUCUACUGCAGGCUAAAGAAAAUUGAAAAGAUCUGAUCCUAGUACGAGAG
This 480-nucleotide ribosomal RNA is filed under the name uncultured bacterium. Its description in RNAcentral is "bacterial LSU rRNA". It matches the Rfam family "Bacterial large subunit ribosomal RNA", at positions 2213 to 2689 of the family's 2925-position model. The record is from RNAcentral.